GACAAUAUUACAUUAUAGGGACCAAAGAAAAAUGUUACAGAAAGCUGAGUGAUAGCCUCCUGGUGCUGGCUUAGUCAGUCUCUCUUGUAUGAACAGUGACCUACUGCAAGUAAAUAAAUAAUAAAUGAGAAAGAGACAACAGCGGACCAGAAGAUGGAUGUAACAGCAGCGUGUGCAUGGAGGAACAUGGAAAAUGUAGGCACAAUCCCAAAGGCUAGAAAUAGAGCCAAAGCAACAAAACGUGGAGAAAAAUGUCCCACCCUAAUCAUGCCAGCGGGAUCUAAAAGCGUUCGUGCCCUGGGAAACCGACACUGAGCACAGCUGCUGUCUUGCCUGCCUCACCCCCAGUUAUAGCCUGAACAACAGUGAGGUGUGGUCAGACCCAUUUUCAUCCAGGCAAUCAGCUGACUGCUGAAGAAACAACCAGGAAUUUAGAGCCUGGCCAGUAGAAGGAGAAAUGUAAUGAGAAGUAAGACAGGGAAAAAAUAAAGUGCGAGUCCGAGUGCUAGAAAAUGUCAACUGCCUAACAUACAGACAACUGAUACCUGGAUGCAAAAUACAGAGCCAAUGAUGCAAAGAAACAGGGAAAAGAUUAUUGCCAAGACUUCCAAGAUCAGUAAUACGACUCCAGAAGCUCAGGAAAACCAGGCCAAAAACCAAAUCUGAGCAACUUACAAGACACCCAGAAGAAGGAAACUGUGGCACUCGAGAGGGUUUUGCACUACAGGAAGGAGGCAGACUCCUAUCAGAUGCUCCGUCAUUCAGAAGACCGCAGAUGCUCGCUCUGAAUUCUGGGGUCUCCUUUCCUAUCUCCCUGCCGCCUUCCCUCCCUCCUUCCCUUCCUCCCAAGCCUGUAUUGAAUAUUAUUUUUCAGGACUUUGCUCACUUUUAAAAUUGGGAUAUUUUCUUACUAUUGAGUUGUUUCAGUUCUUCAUACAUACUUAGAUGUUAACUUCUAUCAAAUAUACAUUGCAAACAUUUUCUGCCAAAACCUAGGCUGUUUCUUUAUUCAUCUGCUUUCCUUGGCUGUAAAGAAGCAUUUUGGUGUGAUGCAAUCCCAUUUACCUAUUUUUACCCUUGUUACAUGUACUUCUAGGGUCAUUUCCAAGAAAGUUUGCCCACACUAAUGUCAGGAAGGCUUUCUUUUGUUUUAUUUUAAUAGUUUUUGAGUUUUAAGUCUUAGAUUCAUGUUUCAAAUCCAGUUUAAGUUGACUUUUGUGGAUGAGGUGAGGUGAGGGUCCAGUUCAGUUCUUUUGCACGUGAAUAACAAGUUGCUCUGACCCCAUUUACAGAAGAAAGUUCAGCGGCUGUCACUGCGGGGCGUCUUGCUGCUUCCUCCAUUCUGUCCCACUAAGUCUAUACCCAGUUGUUGGUGGUCCACACGAUGCUGUUUUGCUGUGUGUUAUAGAUUUUGAUAUCAGAUCUUUCAGUUCUUCUGGACCAGAUUUUUAUAACAAGCAAAAAUAUUU
Fukomys damarensis (Damara mole-rat) is the source of this 1469-nucleotide long non-coding RNA. RefSeq lists it as uncharacterized. NCBI's taxonomy places the organism in Eukaryota, Metazoa, Chordata, Mammalia, Rodentia, Bathyergidae. The transcript is spliced from 2 exons. The record is from RefSeq and is a predicted model, not a curated record.